This 497-nucleotide ribosomal RNA is filed under the name uncultured bacterium. RNAcentral describes it as "partial 16S ribosomal RNA". It matches the Rfam family "Bacterial small subunit ribosomal RNA", at positions 28 to 507 of the family's 1533-position model. The record is from RNAcentral.
GAUGAACGCUGGCGGCGUGCCUAAUACAUGCAAGUCGAACGAACAGACGAGGAGCUUGCUCCUCUGACGUUAGCGGAGGGCGUGUGAGUAACGCGUGGAUACCCUACCUAUAAGACUGGGAUAACUUCGGAAAACCGGAGCUAAUACCAGAUAAUAUAUUGCACCGCGUGGUUCGAUGGUGAAAUACGGUUUUGCGGUAACUUAUAGAUGGAUCCGCGCCGUAUGAGCUAGUUGGGAAGGUAACGGCUUACCAAGGCUACGAUGCGUAGCCGACGUGAGAGGGGGAUCGGCCACCCUGGAACGGAGACACGGUCCAGACGACUACGGGAGGCAGCAGUAGGGAAUCUGCCGCAAUGGGCGAAAGCCUGACGGAGCAACGCCGCGUGAGUGAUGAAGGUCUUCGGAUCGUAAAACUCUGUUAUUAGGGAAGAACAAAUGUGUAAGUAACUAUGCACGGCUUGACGGUACCGAAUCAGAAAGCCACGGCUAACUACGUG